RNAcentral lists this long non-coding RNA (1042 nucleotides) under Marmota monax (woodchuck). The record is from RNAcentral. Lineage: Eukaryota; Metazoa; Chordata; Mammalia; Rodentia; Sciuridae.
GUAAAUUGUUUAGAAAAUUGCUUUCUUUUAGUGUCUGCUGGAAUGUUACGUAAGUUUUUUUUUAGCCAUCAUUGCCAGAAUUCCUAUCUUCAUCCCAGUGCCAGUGAAGACAAAGAGAAAACCAAACUACAGCUUCUACGAUAGCUAUUACAACAAACUGUAUAAACUGAUGCAUCAAUGAAUAAUAACUCAACAAGUAAUGCUCAAUCAAGGAGUCGAUUUACUUUGGGAGGAAAUGGACAUAUUAAUGGAUUCCUCUGCUUUGAACUGCUUGCAGAACUUGCCUGGACUAUGUAUCACUUGUAUGCAUUGUGAACUAUCUGUUGGUGCAGCGAAUUGUGGUAGUGCUGGGGUAUCUUUGCUGAUGGUGUCAUAGGUGGUACAAUUUUUCCAAAAGGAACCGUCAUUUGGCUUGGUGUUGUGGCAUUUUGCAGCCUCCUCCCUUCUGCUUGUGAUGGUCUAAAAUUUGGGGGCCAACAGAGGUGAGGCAAAGAACCUCACCCCCCCACUGAUGCAAAGGCCAAAUUUGGGGGCCAACAGAGGUGAGGCAAAGAACCUCACCCACCACUGGUGCAAAGGCCUAUCCACAAGUAUGGCUGUAUGCUGGACCAGUAGUCAAUGACGGGUAAGAUCCAAUUGCAAUGGUACCAACCUAAGACAGGAGGCUGACACCUUGAGGUCAACUCAUCUGAUGAUGGGUAAGGACCAUAUGUAGUAUUGGACAUCUUAAGACGGGCGCGGUCCCUAAGCCACAUGCUUGUUGUUUAAUUAAACAGAAGGGGGGAGAUGUUGAGAGCCACAGCCAAGUCGGAAUGGCCCCUGGCAUUUUGCUAGAAGUAGUGGUUGAGAGGGGAGCCAUUAAGAUGAUGCUGGAUUGAUUCAAUUGUAUAUAGACCCCUGCUGUCUGCCUCAGGCGCCCGCUACUUUGGAGUUCUUGCAGGGAUUUCCUGGGGAGUUCGCGUUGGGGAAGUUCUGGUGGAGGGAAUUCUGGUUGGUGUGGUGUGCCGGAGAGGAGCCACAUGGGUGGCGUUCGGGAGAGUUC